RNAcentral lists this small RNA (526 nucleotides) under Cryptosporidium parvum. The record is from RNAcentral. Lineage: Eukaryota; Apicomplexa; Conoidasida; Eucoccidiorida; Cryptosporidiidae.
GAAAUCAUCAAAUCUUGGAGAAUAUCUGGGCUUUGGUUAUUCAAUGAUGCUUGCAUGUAUUGAUUGAAUCUCCUUUCUGCUGUUUUGGGUUUGAACCUACCCGGAAUCCAGAGGAGUUUGUGAUAUUGUCAUAUUCAAUCGCUGAGAUAACCUUAAGCCUAGUUUAUAUGAUUUUAAUUGAAGUUCGGAGCAUGGAUAUCGCUUAUAUUGUGGAAUUACAAGAUUUCAAUAGUCAUGAGUCUUGAAGUAUUAGCUUUAUAAAUAUUAUUUCGAGAGAAAUAUGGAGUUAUAUUUGAGUUUUCAGGUUGUGUAAUAAUGAGCCGACAAUAUUUGGAUUUUAGCUCUUUUUGCAUAGCUUUUAACUUAAGCGAUAAAAUACAAUGAUGAUUUCGCUCCCUCUACUGACUUAUUUUUUGAGGAAGGUUGCGAUUCCGGAAUCAAUAUUUAUAUCUGAGUAUUUUAUUUUUAUACUUUAGUACUUUAAUUUUAUGUUUAAAUUUCGACUUUAUUCCGGCUGCACAGCCCG